GGCGACGUGGCCGAGUGGUUUAGGCAAGGGCCUGCAAAGCCCUGUACCUGGGUUCGAUUCCCAGCGUCGCCUCCA
Molecule: transfer RNA, 75 nt
Filed under: Acidimicrobiales bacterium
Lineage: Bacteria; Bacillati; Actinomycetota; Acidimicrobiia; Acidimicrobiales
Also listed under: 3 other names
Description: tRNA-Cys
Rfam family: tRNA
About the family: Transfer RNA (tRNA) molecules are approximately 80 nucleotides in length.
Source: RNAcentral